CCUACGGGAGGCAGCAGUGGGGAAUUUUGGACAAUGGGGGAAACCCUGAUCCAGCAAUGCCGCGUGUGUGAAGAAGGCCUUCGGGUUGUAAAGCACUUUAGUCCGGAAAGAAA
This 113-nucleotide ribosomal RNA is filed under the name uncultured bacterium. RNAcentral describes it as "partial 16S ribosomal RNA". It matches the Rfam family "Bacterial small subunit ribosomal RNA", at positions 338 to 450 of the family's 1533-position model. The record is from RNAcentral.